RNAcentral lists this unclassified non-coding RNA (176 nucleotides) under soil metagenome. RNAcentral describes it as "partial internal transcribed spacer 1". The record is from RNAcentral.
AAGUAUUCUUCGGUGCAGCCAGCGCUUCCACAGCGCGGCAGCCCAAACCUUACACACUGUGAUUAGUUUUUUUACUAUUUACUUUGGCUGCGCAAGUGGCCAAAGGUCUUAAACACAAAGAUUUAUAUCUUCUUUUACAAAAUUUAGUCAAUGAAGUUUUAAUACUAUAAUCUUCA